RNAcentral lists this ribosomal RNA (404 nucleotides) under Fusobacteriota bacterium. Its description in RNAcentral is "Fusobacteria bacterium partial 16S ribosomal RNA". It matches the Rfam family "Bacterial small subunit ribosomal RNA", at positions 355 to 776 of the family's 1533-position model. Lineage: Bacteria; Fusobacteriati; Fusobacteriota. The record is from RNAcentral.
UGGGGAAUAUUGCACAAUGGAGGGAACUCUGAUGCAGCGACGCCGCGUGAGUGAUGAAGGAAUUCGUUUCGUAAAAUUCUGUUCUAUGGGAAGAAAAGGACUGUACCAUAGGAGAAAGCUCCGGCUAAAUACGUGCCAGCAGCCGCGGUAAUACGUAUGGAGCGAGCGUUGUCCGGAAUUAUUGGGCGUAAAGGGUGCGCAGGCGGCUUUACAAGUUGGAUGUGAAAUAUUGUGGCUCAACCACAAACGUGCAUCCAAAACUGCAAAGCUUGAGUUAAGGAGAGGUAAGUGGAAUUCCUGGUGUAGCGGUGGAAUGCGUAGAUAUCAGGAGGAAUACCGGUGGCGAAGGCGACUUACUGGACUUAAACUGACGCUCAGGCACGAAAGCGUGGGGAGCAAACAGG